RNAcentral lists this ribosomal RNA (253 nucleotides) under uncultured bacterium. RNAcentral's name for it is "partial 16S ribosomal RNA". It matches the Rfam family "Bacterial small subunit ribosomal RNA", at positions 524 to 776 of the family's 1533-position model. The record is from RNAcentral.
UACGUAGGGUGCAAGCGUUGUCCGGAAUUAUUGGGCGUAAAGAGCUCGUAGGCGGUCUGUCGCGUCGGCUGUGAAAACUCGGGGCUCAACUCCGAGCUUGCAGUCGAUACGGGCAGGCUAGAGUUCGGCAGGGGAGACUGGAAUUCCAGGUGUAGCGGUGAAAUGCGUAGAUAUCUGGAGGAACACCGGUGGCGAAGGCGGCAUCCUGGACCGAUACUGACGCUGAGGAGCGAAAGCCAGGGGAGCAAACGGG